CCUACGGGAGGCAGCAGUGGGGAAUAUUGGGCAAUGGGCGAAAGCCUGACCCAGCGACGCCGCGUAGGGGAAGAAGGCCUUCGGGUUGUAACCCCCUUUUGCAGGGGACGACACAGGACGGUACCCUGCGAAUAAGCCACGGCUAACUCUGUGCCAGCAGCCGCGGUAAGACAGAGGUGGCAAGCGUUGCUCGGAUUUACUGGGCUUAAAGGGCGCGUAGGCGGCUUUAUAAGUCCGAGGUGGAAUUCCACAGCUUAACUGUGGAACUGCCUUGGAAACUAGAGGGCUUGAGUCAGGUAGAGGAGGGCGGAAUUCCCGGUGUAGCGGUAAAAUGCGUAGAUAUCGGGAGGAAGGCCGGUGGCGAAAGCGGCCCUCGGGGCCUGUACUGACGCUGAGGCGCGAAAGCGGGGGGAGCAAACAGGAUUAGAUACCCGAGUAUU
This 440-nucleotide ribosomal RNA is filed under the name uncultured Nitrospirales bacterium. RNAcentral's name for it is "partial 16S ribosomal RNA". It matches the Rfam family "Bacterial small subunit ribosomal RNA", at positions 338 to 794 of the family's 1533-position model. The record is from RNAcentral. Lineage: Bacteria; Pseudomonadati; Nitrospirota; Nitrospiria; Nitrospirales.